GAUGAACGCUAGCGGCAGGCCUAAUACAUGCAGGUCGAACGGGUGGUCGCAAGACCACUAGUGGCGCACGGGUGCGUAACGCGUAACCAACCUGCCCCGAUCUGGGGGAUAGCCCGCCGAAAGGCGGAUUAAUACCGCAUAUACCCGCAGCCUGGCAUCAGGCAACGGGGAAAGAUUUAUUGGAUCGGGAUGGGGUUGCGUGACAUUAGCUAGUUGGCGGGGUAAGGGCCCACCAAGGCGACGAUGUCUAGGGGACCUGAGAGGGUGAUCCCCCACACUGGCACUGAGAUACGGGCCAGACGCCUACGGGAGGCAGCAGUAGGGAAUAUUGGGCAAUGGGCGAGAGCCUGACCCAGCCAUGCCGCGUGCCGGAUGAAGGCCUUCUGGGUUGUAAACGGCUUUUCUCAGGGAAGAAAAAGACCUUGCGAGGUACACUGACGGUACCUGAGGAAUAAGCACCGGCUAACUCCGUG
RNAcentral lists this ribosomal RNA (473 nucleotides) under uncultured bacterium. Its description in RNAcentral is "partial 16S ribosomal RNA". It matches the Rfam family "Bacterial small subunit ribosomal RNA", at positions 28 to 507 of the family's 1533-position model. The record is from RNAcentral.